This 909-nucleotide long non-coding RNA is filed under the name Piliocolobus tephrosceles (Ugandan red Colobus). Its description in RNAcentral is "lncRNA (ENSPTEG00000019356.1)". Lineage: Eukaryota; Metazoa; Chordata; Mammalia; Primates; Cercopithecidae. The record is from RNAcentral.
UACAUAUAUAAAUACGUUACAUAUAUAAAUACGUUAACAUAUGUUAUGCUAAAAGUGUUUUUUUUUUUUUUUUUAAUAUCCAUAGCUAUAGUUAAUUAACUAAGGAGAAAUGUUAUUAAUUACCUUAUGUCUUGGGAUAAAAUAUGAAGUAGCUGUUUGUAUUUGUCUCCCUUAUCCGAGUCAUAUUUAAUAUAUCUUGAUAAUACUAAAAAAUUUUUAAAUAAUUUCUUGGCUUCUUUUAUAUUAUUAUUUGUCCAUUUUAUAUAAAUGUCUUCUAAAUAUUUACGUUUUAUUCCUUUAAAAAUAUUAUUAUUUUGAUCUACAAUUUUUAAUAUAUCUUCGUAUGACUUGUUCAUAUAAUUUAUUGAUAAUUCGUUUAACAAUUUGUAUAAUGUUUCUCUCUUUAAAUUUAUAUAAUUAUUAAUAAAUUGUUUAUAUAAUUUACAUUUUUCACUGUCACUUAAAGUUAGUUGUAUAUAUCUCUCAUCCGUUUUUAAGCUAGUCGGGAUGUUAUGUUUUGUUUCAAAUUCUACUUUUUUUUUUUUUUUUUUUUUUUUUUUUUUUUUUUUUUUUUUUUUUUUUUUUUUUUUUUUUUUUUUUUUUUGUUUUUUUUUUUCAUUUCUUUUUCUAUCAUUGUAUCAUCACUUACUAUAUUAUCAAUAUUCAUAAUAUAAUCCCACAAAAAUUUUAUUUUACUUUCAAUCAUAUUUUUAAUUUGAUCGUUGUCAUCUUUUUCGUAAAGAGUUUUUACUCUCCCUCCUCUUCCUCUUAAGCACUUCUCUAAGGACUUCACAUUUUUGUUACUUUUUCUUCUCACCAUUUUAAGUUAGCAAUAUAUAUAUAUAUAUAUAUAUAUAACUCGAAUCAAAUUUAAAUAAAUAAAAUCUAAUAUGUUAAUAUAGGUGUAUA